AAGAAACGAUCCACGUGUGCAUGCAGCAGAGCUAUCUCGUAAGAGACGUUUCUUAUGCUUGGUGCAACGGAUGGGACAUACAAAAUAGGAUAAAGAGCGAAAGGGCGAUAUUUUCAAUAUAUUUGUACAACUGGUUCGAUAAAUAAGGAAGACCCACCCAUGCCAGAGCGUAACGAGAGGUCUCUGAAACAGAAAUAAAUAAGCGGCUUUUUUUCCUGGAGCUUUCACGUGUAUAGCAGCAGAGGGUAUAAAUAGAAAGAGGUUCAGUAUAUCGCGACCCGUGUGCUGUGAUGUACAUCGAUUAGUAUACACAGUAUACACAGUUCACUUAUCGUUGAAGUGUACCAAUGGCGCGUAUCGCUCUCCUCCAGCGAGCCUCUCGGCUAAUCAUUGUAUUACAAGCCACGGAAUCAUUCGACACAAAAAGAUCUUGCGUACUUACUUGCGGUACGUGAUGUGCAUCGUUAACGAUGCCAAGCAAGUUGAAACAACUUGGAAUUGUUUCAGUUUACUGUACUUUGUAA
This is a long non-coding RNA of Frieseomelitta varia, 524 nucleotides long. RefSeq lists it as uncharacterized. The record is from RefSeq and is a predicted model, not a curated record. NCBI's taxonomy places the organism in Eukaryota, Metazoa, Arthropoda, Insecta, Hymenoptera, Apidae. The transcript has 2 exons.